Molecule: ribosomal RNA, 218 nt
Filed under: uncultured bacterium
Lineage: Bacteria
Description: partial 16S ribosomal RNA
Rfam family: Bacterial small subunit ribosomal RNA
Source: RNAcentral
GGGUGAGUAACACGUGACUACCUACCCUUCGAGUGGGGGGAGUAACCUCGGGAAACCGAGGCUAAUACCGCAUAAUAUCGAGAGAUCAAAGGAGCAAUUCGCUUUUGGAGGGGGUCGCGGCUGAUUAGCUAGUUGGUAGGGUAAUGGCCUACCAAGGCGAAGAUCGGUAUCCGGCCUGAGAGGGCGCACGGACACACUGGAACUGAAACACGGUCCAG